RNAcentral lists this ribosomal RNA (928 nucleotides) under Moraxella sp. 1NM-7. Its description in RNAcentral is "bacterial SSU rRNA". It matches the Rfam family "Bacterial small subunit ribosomal RNA", at positions 56 to 982 of the family's 1533-position model. The record is from RNAcentral. Lineage: Bacteria; Pseudomonadati; Pseudomonadota; Gammaproteobacteria; Moraxellales; Moraxellaceae.
UGCAAGUCGAACGAUGACUCUCUAGCUUGCUAGAGAAGAUUAGUGGCGGACGGGUGAGUAACAUUUAGGAAUCUGCCUAGUAGUGGGGGAUAGCUCGGGGAAACUCGAAUUAAUACCGCAUACGACCUACGGGUGAAAGGGGGCGCAAGCUCUUGCUAUUAGAUGAGCCUAAAUCAGAUUAGCUAGUUGGUGGGGUAAAGGCCCACCAAGGCGACGAUCUGUAACUGGUCUGAGAGGAUGAUCAGUCACACCGGAACUGAGACACGGUCCGGACUCCUACGGGAGGCAGCAGUGGGGAAUAUUGGACAAUGGGGGCAACCCUGAUCCAGCCAUGCCGCGUGUGUGAAGAAGGCCUUUUGGUUGUAAAGCACUUUAAGCAGGGAGGAGAGGCUAAUGGUUAAUACCCAUUAGAUUAGACGUUACCUGCAGAAUAAGCACCGGCUAACUCUGUGCCAGCAGCCGCGGUAAUACAGAGGGUGCGAGCGUUAAUCGGAAUUACUGGGCGUAAAGCGAGUGUAGGUGGCUCAUUAAGUCACAUGUGAAAUCCCCGGGCUUAACCUGGGAACUGCAUGUGAUACUGGUGGUGCUAGAAUAUGUGAGAGGGAAGUAGAAUUCCAGGUGUAGCGGUGAAAUGCGUAGAGAUCUGGAGGAAUACCGAUGGCGAAGGCAGCUUCCUGGCAUAAUAUUGACACUGAGAUUCGAAAGCGUGGGUAGCAAACAGGAUUAGAUACCCUGGUAGUCCACGCCGUAAACGAUGUCUACUAGCCGUUGGGGUCCUUGAGACUUUAGUGGCGCAGUUAACGCGAUAAGUAGACCGCCUGGGGAGUACGGCCGCAAGGUUAAAACUCAAAUGAAUUGACGGGGGCCCGCACAAGCGGUGGAGCAUGUGGUUUAAUUCGAUGCAACGCGAAGAACCUUACCUGGUCUU